Molecule: ribosomal RNA, 253 nt
Filed under: uncultured bacterium
Lineage: Bacteria
Description: partial 16S ribosomal RNA
Rfam family: Bacterial small subunit ribosomal RNA
Source: RNAcentral
UACGGAGGGAGCUAGCGUUGUUCGGAAUUACUGGGCGUAAAGCGCACGUAGGCGGCUUUGUAAGUUAGAGGUGAAAGCCCGGGGCUCAACUCCGGAACUGCCUUUAAGACUGCAUCGCUUGAAUCCAGGAGAGGUGAGUGGAAUUCCGAGUGUAGAGGUGAAAUUCGUAGAUAUUCGGAAGAACACCAGUGGCGAAGGCGACUUACUGGACGAUUGUUGACGCUGAGGUGCGAAAGCGUGGGGAGCGAACGGG